This 561-nucleotide ribosomal RNA is filed under the name uncultured bacterium. RNAcentral's name for it is "bacterial SSU rRNA". It matches the Rfam family "Bacterial small subunit ribosomal RNA", at positions 338 to 916 of the family's 1533-position model. The record is from RNAcentral.
CCUACGGGAGGCAGCAGUGGGGAAUAUUGGACAAUGGGCGAAAGCCUGAUCCAGCAAUGCCGCGUGAGUGAUGAAGGCCUUAGGGUUGUAAAGCUCUUUUACCAGGGAUGAUAAUGACAGUACCUGGAGAAUAAGCUCCGGCUAACUCCGUGCCAGCAGCCGCGGUAAUACGGAGGGAGCUAGCGUUGUUCGGAAUUACUGGGCGUAAAGCGUGCGUAGGCGGUGAUUCAAGUCAGAGGUGAAAGCCUGGAGCUCAACUCCAGAACGGCCUUUGAAACUAGAUCGCUAGAAUUAUGGAGAGGUAAGUGGAAUUCCGAGUGUAGAGGUGAAAUUCGUAGAUAUUCGGAAGAACACCAGUGGCGAAGGCGACUUACUGGACAUAUAUUGACGCUGAGGUACGAAAGCGUGGGGAGCAAACAGGAUUAGGUACCCUGGUAGUCCACGCCGUAAACGAUGAUAACUAGCUGUUCGGGCUCUCAGAGCUUGAGUGGCGCAGCUAACGCAUUAAGUUAUCCGCCUGGGGAGUACGGUCGCAAGNUUAAAACUCAAAUGAAUUGACGG